AUGGAUCUACUAGGGAACCCUUUCAAGGGGGUCGUCGCCGAUGUCAAAGGGAGAGCGUCUUGGUACAGGGACGACUGGGUUGCAGGGCUCCGAACUGGCUUCAGGAUAUUGGCACCUACCAUGUAUAUAUUCUUUGCCUCCGCACUCCCUGUCAUCUCCUUCGGAGAGCAGCUGAGCAACGAAACAGAUGGUAUCCUGAGCACAGUUGAAACUUUGGCAUCUACGGCGAUAUGUGGGAUAAUACACUCUAUUCUUGGAGGGCAGCCACUGUUGAUCGUUGGAGUUGCUGAACCUACUAUUAUCAUGUAUACGUACCUUUACAAGUUUGCCAAGAAGCAGCCAGAUCUGGGAGAACAGCUAUAUUUGGCUUGGGCUGGAUGGGUCUGCAUUUGGACUGCUAUCAUGCUCUUUCUGCUGGCCAUGUUCAAUGCUUCCAACAUUAUAAGCAGGUUCACGAGGGUUGCAGGAGAGCUUUUUGGUAUGCUUAUCACCGUCCUCUUCCUGCAACAAGCUAUCAAGGGAAUUGUAAGCGAGUUCAGUAUGCCCAAAGAUGAUGAGAUUUCUGACCCCAGCUCACCCAUAUACCAGUUCCAGUGGAUUUAUGUCAAUGGCCUACUUGGUGUUAUAUUUUCCAUUGGCUUGCUGUACACUGCACUGAAGACUAGGCGUGCAAGGUCAUGGCUGUUUGGGAUAGGAUGGCUUAGAAGCUUCAUUGCCGAUUAUGGUGUACCACUGAUGGUGAUUGUGUGGACAGCAUUUUCAUUUGCACUACCAAGCAAAGUCCCUUCAGGAGUGCCUAGGAGGCUCUUCAGUCCACUUCCCUGGGAGUCAAUCUCACUGAGACAUUGGACCGUAGCAAAGGAUUUGUUUUCUGUCCCUCCAACAUAUAUAUUCGCAGCCAUCGUGCCUGCUUUGAUGGUCGCAGGACUUUAUUUCUUUGAUCACAGUGUAGCUUCACAGUUGGCUCAGCAAAAGGAAUUUAAUUUGAAGAAGCCUUCGGCCUACCAUUAUGACAUUUUGGUACUNNNNNNNNNGGUCCUACUAUGUGGUUUGCUUGGCAUUCCUCCAUCAAAUGGAGUACUUCCUCAGUCCCCAAUGCAUACCAGAAGCCUUGCUGUCCUCAAGGGGCAGUUGCUACGCAAAAAGAUGCUUCAAACUGCCAAAGAGGGCAUGUCAAACCGUGCGAGCAGUUUGGAAAUAUAUGGCAAGAUGCAGGAAGUGUUCAUCCAAAUGGACAGCAACAUGAAUGCUAAUUCUGUUGACAAGGACUUGAAGAGCUUGAAGGAUGCUGUGCUGCGGGAAGGUGACGAAGAAGGGAAAUUGGCUGGAGAAUUUGAUCCUAGCAAACAUAUCGAAGCACAUUUGCCUGUUCGCGUGAAUGAACAGAGACUAAGCAACCUGCUGCAAUCAUUACUUGUUGGUGGGUGUGUUGGAGCCAUGCCGGUUAUCAAGAUGAUACCGACUUCGGUCCUCUGGGGUUACUUUGCCUAUAUGGCCAUUGAUAGCCUACCUGGGAACCAGUUUUGGGAAAGGUUGCAGCUUCUGUGCAUUGGAGCAAGCCGACGCUACAAGGUCUUGGAAGGCCCCCAUGCAUCUUUCGUGGAGUCAGUGCCUUCAAGAACAAUAUCUGCCUUUACGGUCUUCCAGUUUGUGUAUCUCCUGAUAUGCUUCGGCAUAACAUGGAUACCAGUAGCAGGGAUCCUCUUCCCGCUGCCUUUCUUCAUUAUGAUUCUCAUCAGGCAACACCUACUCCCAAAGUUCUUUGAGCCCAAUGACUUGCGGGAACUGGACGCAGCUGAGUACGAAGAACUUGAAGGUGUCCCACAUGAACAAACACCGGAGGAAGAUGGCUCAAAUUCAGGAAGCUGUGACAGCAGAGACGACUCUGAAAUAUUGGAUGAGCUCACAACAAACCGUGGAGAGCUGAAGCACAGAUCCGUAAGCCAUCCUGAAGAAAGGCACCUUCAGAUCCACUCAAAUGCAGUUCAGCCAAGCGUGUGA
Molecule: ribosomal RNA, 2001 nt
Filed under: Triticum aestivum (bread wheat)
Lineage: Eukaryota; Viridiplantae; Streptophyta; Magnoliopsida; Poales; Poaceae
Description: partial small subunit ribosomal RNA
Source: RNAcentral